CAACAUUAGUCAGGAUUAGAAUUUUGACAACAGAGUUCUAAAAAAUAAAUAGUUGCACAGCAGAAUGCUAUAAGCCCGUUUUACAUCUCAUUAAUGGUUUUCUAUGUUGAAAAAUGGUGAAUGCAGGGCCUAACGUCCAAAUUUCAGGGGUUAAGGUACCCCAACUCAGCAGAAUACGAGACCCAUAUUGCACAAUUGAAGAUGGUAUGGAGCCUUUUACUGGCUCAAAUCAACUAGAAAAAUAUGUCGGAUAAUGAUAAGAGAGGCUCUGUCGAACCUGACAAAUGAUCCAUACAUGAUGACGCAUCAAGAUGUAGCUUUUGAAUCGUACCAACUUGGAUGCAAUACUCCCAUAGCAAAUACUGAUGAAUACAUGAAUUUUGUUCUUAAAGAAUGCAUGCAUCUCUAAGAUAAGGAAUUUAGCUCUAUACACGAUGACGCACCAAGAUGGGUAUUAAAGAGGGCUACAACUUAUUUGGAACAUGAUAUGGUGAGCCUCAGUUCCGUACAUAUUACUAUUAAUUUAAUCGAGGAUGGAUGUUUGUAUAGAUGGGACCUAAACUAAAAAAAUGCCUAUUUUCAGUGUAUCCGGAUGCUCGACUCGCUAGGCCCAGGAAUGCACCGCAAAGACCUCACCGCUAUGGUUAGUUAUUAGUCCGACUGCACCAUCGUUUGAUAAGACGAUUUCUGUUAUUCUUCGCUUGUGAUGCUAAUACUUUGUCAUUUAUUCACGCAACAGCUGGAAGGCAAGGGCA
Molecule: long non-coding RNA, 755 nt
Organism: Triticum dicoccoides
Lineage: Eukaryota; Viridiplantae; Streptophyta; Magnoliopsida; Poales; Poaceae
Exons: 3
Source: RefSeq, a predicted model, not a curated record